This 24-nucleotide non-coding RNA is filed under the name Arabidopsis thaliana (thale cress). The record is from RNAcentral. Lineage: Eukaryota; Viridiplantae; Streptophyta; Magnoliopsida; Brassicales; Brassicaceae.
AAGUACAAGUGUAUGGCGCUGUUG